CUAACACAUGCAAGUCGAACGGUAACAGUCCCGCUUGCGGGAGCUGACGAGUGGCGCACGGGUGCGUAACGCGUAUGCAAUCUACCUUCAACUGGGGGAUAGCCCGAAGAAAUUCGGAUUAAUACUCCAUAGUAUAAAGAAUUCGCAUGUUUUCUUUAUUAAAACUCCGGUGGUUGAAGAUGAGCAUGCGUCCUAUUAGUUAGUUGGUGAGGUAACGGCUCACCAAGACUCCGAUAGGUAGGGGGUCUGAGAGGAUGACCCCCCACACUGGUACUGAGACACGGACCAGACUCCUACGGGAGGCAGCAGUGAGGAAUAUUGGACAAUGGACGAAAGUCUGAUCCAGCCAUGCCGCGUGCAGGAAGACUGCCCUCUGGGUUGUAAACUGCUUUUAUAAGGGAAUAAACCCCCCGAUUCUUCGGGGGCUGAAUGUACCUUACGAAUAAGGACCGGCUAACUCCGUGCCAGCAGCCGCGGUAAUACGGAGGGUCCAAGCGUUAUCCGGAUUUAUUGGGUUUAAAGGGUCCGUAGGUGGGAUCAUAAGUCAGCGGUGAAAUCUUUCGGCUUAACCGGAAAAUUGCCGUUGAUACUGUGGUUCUUGAGUAUGCUCGAUGUAGGCGGAAUAUGUCAUGUAGCGGUGAAAUGCAUAGAUAUGACAUAGAACACCGAUAGCGAAGGCAGCUUACAAGCGCAUAACUGACACUGAGGGACGAAAGCGUGGGGAGCGAACAGGAUUAGAUACCCUGGUAGUCCACGCCGUAAACGAUGAUCACUAGACAUUGGCGACAUACUGUUCGGUGUCCAAGCGAAAGCAUUAAGUGAUCCACCUGGGGAGUACGCUCGC
This 844-nucleotide ribosomal RNA is filed under the name uncultured organism. Its description in RNAcentral is "bacterial SSU rRNA". It matches the Rfam family "Bacterial small subunit ribosomal RNA", at positions 48 to 889 of the family's 1533-position model. The record is from RNAcentral.